This 326-nucleotide ribosomal RNA is filed under the name uncultured eukaryote. Its description in RNAcentral is "partial 18S ribosomal RNA". It matches the Rfam family "Eukaryotic small subunit ribosomal RNA", at positions 1470 to 1796 of the family's 1831-position model. The record is from RNAcentral.
CCCUUAGAUGUUCUGGGCCGCACGCGCGCUACACUGAUGCAUUCAACGAGUCCAACCUUGACCGAGAGGUCCGGGUAAUCUUUGAAACUGCAUCGUGAUGGGGCUAGAUUAUUGCAAUUAUUAAUCUUCAACGAGGAAUGCCUAGUAAGCGUGAUUCAUCAAAUCGCGUUGAUUACGUCCCUGCCCUUUGUACACACCGCCCGUCGCUCCUACCGAUUGAGUGUGUUGGUGAGGAGUUUGGAUUGGCCUCGGAAGGUGGUUCGCUACCGUCCGUAGCUGAGAAGUUCUCCAAACCGCCCCACUUAGAGGAAGGAGAAGUCGUAACA